Molecule: RNA transcript, 4186 nt
Organism: Dunckerocampus dactyliophorus (ringed pipefish)
Lineage: Eukaryota; Metazoa; Chordata; Actinopteri; Syngnathiformes; Syngnathidae
Gene: hmmr
Gene name: hyaluronan-mediated motility receptor (RHAMM)
Exons: 19
Source: RefSeq, a predicted model, not a curated record
CGUAAAUUUGAAAUUUCAGCGCUGAAAGUCUGUUGCGUGUCGUUGUCAUCUCGAGCUGCGGCGCAGCAUUUUGAAAGCGAAAUCGAAACGCAUCAAUUUCACAAAGGAGGUUAGAAAUGUCGUUCUCAAGAGCGCCUUUGAAAAGGUUCAACGAAUCUGUUGGUUGCGCCCCUCCACCGGGCAUCUACGACAUCAAACCCGGGGAACCGAAGGGAGCUGCGUCCUUUGACAAAUCUGAUCGCUUCAAACAUUCUAAGGCGGUGAACCCAAUAUCACCCUCCAGAAUUUCACUGACGUCUCCUGUCAGAAGGACACUAUCCGUUGAUGGACUAGUUGAAGGAUCAAGUGCAAAGAAAGACAAGAAUGCCAUGACUUUGGAAAGGAAACAACAACGGCUAUUGGAGAAAGAGAUCCGCUGCUUGGUCCAGCAGCGAGGGGAGCAGGAUCGACGCUUGCUGUCCUUGGAGGAUGACUUGAGAAAGUUGGAAGCCAAGCUUUUGGCUGCAGUCAGGGAGAAGACGGGCCUCACUGCCAACAUCACCACCCUUGAGAGACAGAAAGCUGAGCUCAAGAAAGUCAACGAGUUCUUAAAAAACAAGGUUUCAGCUGACACAACCAAAAAGAGGAUCAACUCGCUUACAAUGGAGCUGAUGGAGGCCAGGAACAAUUUAGACAGCAAAAAUGAGGAGCUAAGUGUUCUGCAGUUCAGCAGUGAAGGCCGCGUUAAGCUGUUAGAAACAGAUCUCAGAGCCAGCAAAGAUACUCUGCAGGCUUUAAAAGACAGAAAUAAAGACUUGGAGGACAUCCAUCACGUGACGAAAACACAAAAUGAAGAGUUGGAACAAGAGAAUGCCAGAUUACAUGCUGAGAUACGGGCGCUGAAAGAGGAGGUCCGGGUUAUACAAGGAUAUCUAGACACGUCCAAUGAUCAAAUCCAGGAUCUCCGCUUAAAGCUUCAAGGUACAACUCAGCAGGACUUGCAGCUUCAGAACAUCGAGCACCUCGAGGAGGAGUUAGAGCAGUGCAACGGAAAGCUUGAAGGCGCUGAACUUCUCCUGCGGGAAAAAGAAGAAGAGGCGCUGAAAUAUCAGCACAAUCUGCAGGCCUCCAAGGAGUCUUUAUUGGAAACCGAGAGGAAGUUGGCGAGCCAAGAGUUGUCUUCACAAAAGUUGGUGAGCGACAUGAAGCUGCAGGUGAUGUUCCCCAUCCGUGAGAUCCAGCAGGACUCUCAAACAGCAAUUUGUUUGCAGGACGCUGAGGUUGCUCGACUACGGGUGGUGCUUAGGAGGACCGAGAGAGAGCUGGAUGAGAGAGUGGCGCAUCUUGAACAAAGGUGUCUGUUUUCCGAAGAGGAAAGAAACAAAACUCAGGAGGAGGGCUUCAGGAGAGUGGAGGAGUUAAAGACAGAACUCUACUUGCUGAAGGAGACAAACCGAGAGGAGAAAAAGAGACAGAUUCGACUACAGCAUGAGCAUGUCUCUCUCACUGAGGAGCUGGUAAAAGAAAGGGCUUUGGUGGACUCUCUAUCUGUGCUGCUGGAGCAUGAGAGGCUGGAGUCAGAGGAGCACCGGAGUAAGUUGAAGGAGGAGUUGGAGGAGGUUCUGGGAGAGCUGGCUCUCAUGGAGGAUCAGGAGCAGAGGCGAGCAGAGGCAACGGACCAGAGUCAGGAGGUCCUCCAGAAGCUACAGGAGGAAAAUGCUAAGCUGGAGAGACAACUGAGAGACACCAGAGAGCUUUUAGACCGUAAGAGCAGUGACAUGUCAUCUUUGAAAGAGGAGCAUUCAGUCGCCAUGAGAAAACUCCAAGAGGUGCACACAAGCUUACUGAACACAUUGGGGGAGCAGGGUACAGAGCUGGAAAGCACCAAAGAGGCUCUGAGGGACACGGAGGAGAGACGCAAACACCUGGAGGAGGAGAUGGAAAAAGCGACCCAAAUGACAAAGCAAGUGAGGGAGGAGUUAGACAAUGUGAUUCAGCAGCAAGAUGAGGAGAUCAGGAGCAAGAGGGAGGAGCUGGAGGAGCACCAGAGGAAACAGUUUGAUGAGCAGAGGGCUAAAGAGGAGAAUGCUCGAGUUUUGCUGGAGGUGCAGGUUCUCCUCGCUCACAGAGAUGAACAGAUGCAGGCCAUGGAGGUCAGCCAUGCUGCAAGAAUCAGGCAGUUAGAGCAGGAGCUCCAGUAUCAGACAAAAGACAAGGAAGAGGUGCUGAAGCAAGUAGAAGAGAAAAGCCAGGAAGUUGCUGAUCUCCAUCAUGAGAAGGAAAUAGCCCAGAAGCAGCUCAAGGAGGUCCACCAGGAAAAUGUAGACAUAAAGGAACGACUACUGCAAGAAAAGGAAGAGAAAGUUAAAUAUCAGGCAGCGCUUCAGGCGGCAUGUGCAGCACGGGAGGCUGAAACUAAAGACCAGCAACAGCUCAGGUCAGAGGUGCUCAGAUUACAGGCUGAGCUGGAGAGAAUGGACGAGGAAAGAAGUCGACUUAUUUCUCAGGUCGAACUUUCCAACGAGUCAGAGCUGGCACUUAAACAUCACGUGGAGACUGCGGAGCAAGACAGGAAUCAUCUUCAGUCUCGCUUGGAUGAGCUUCAGCUCAAAGGUGGAAACCUUGAAGCUCAAUUAGCCCUCGUGGAGGAGAAAAUGGAGGCUCUGCAGUGUGAAGUGGACCACCAUCACCAAGACCAACACACUCUACAGCAGCAGGUGAAGGUGCUGACUGAGGAAAAGGUCACACUACAGUGGGAGAUGCACGAGCAGAGACGGGAGCUCCAAAGAAAAAUAGCUGAAGCACAGGAGAACAGCUCCUCAACUUCAGAGACAGAACACUGGAGGACCCAGUAUGAGGACCUGUUUGCUAAAGUAAAACCUUUCCAGGAGCAGCUGAAUUCCUUUGCAGCAGAGCGCAGUGCACUCCUCAAUGAAAAUGGAGCAAACCAGGAGGAGCUGAACAAGCUGGCAGAUGCCUACGCACGUCUGCUGGGUCACCAGAACCAGAAGCAGAAGAUUAAACAUGUGAUGAAGCUCAAAGAUGAGAAUAUGGACCUGAAACAGGUAAUGGUGCACAAGUGGGCAUCAGUGAUCAUGAACAACAGUGGAGAGAUAUUGCUAUACUAUAACCUUUUAUGACUAAAGUUAUUUUCUUUGCAUUUCAAUAGGGGUGCAUGAUGAUAAAUAAACAAAUAAUUAAUUAUCAGGCCAAUAUGAGGAUGUCAUACCCAUAAAUCCGAUAACAUUAAAAAAAUUGCUCUGAUGACAGAUUAUAUUUAAAAAAAACCAAAUAAACAAAAAGCAUCACGCUUCAACACAUCAAACCUCAGCCACCUGAAGCGCCAGCAUCGUUAUGACACCUGGGGCGUGUUCCAAUCAUCACAGCCUUUGAAAAGAACAGUUGGCCAGAGACAACCCCAAACGUCUUCAGAUAGAAGAUGCUGUAUGUUUUGUUAAAAGUAGUGAUGUCAUUCUAUUUGCUUGAGACAAAUCUACAGGUACAGUUUGACAAAUCCAACUUUGUUUGACUCGUUCCUACCUGUGUGCACAAACUACAGUUAAAUCAAAAAUUUUAGAAUAAUAGAACUCCGUUCUCCCUUGGAAAAGGGUGGAGUGCCAUCUCUGGGUUGCGGAGAUCCUGCAUCAAAUGGAGGAGUUUAAGUACCUCAGGGUCUUGUUCACGAGUGAUGGAAGGAUGGAACGCGACAUCGACAGGUGGAUUAGUGCGGUGUCUGCAGCGAUGCAGACUCUGCAUCGGUCCAUUGUGGUCAAGAGGGAGCCGAGCCGAUCUAUGUUCCUACCCACACCUAUGGUCAUAAGCUUUAGGUAGUGACCAAAAGGGUCAAAUGAGUUUUGUCCGUAGGGUGACUGUGUUCAGGGCAUGUUCGACCGGUAGGAGCCCUCAGGGAAGACCCAGGACAUGUUGGAGAGACUAUGUCUCUCAACUGGCCUGGGAAAGCCUCGGGAUCCACCGGGAGGAGCUGGACAAAGUAGUUGGGGAGAGAGAGAAGUCUGGCCUUCCCUGCUUAGGCUGCUGUCCCUGCGACCGGACCUCGAAUAAGCGGAAGAAGAUGGAUGGAUACAAGAGGUGUUGAAGCUUCGCUCCCAGGUGAGCCGUCAGAAGAGUGAUCUGGAUCAGCUCAAGUCAAAGCUCCCUGGCGGUUGUCAGCGCAGGUUUGAUCCCCGCAAAGCGUUCCAACACAAUA